This 244-nucleotide ribosomal RNA is filed under the name uncultured bacterium. RNAcentral's name for it is "partial small subunit ribosomal RNA". It matches the Rfam family "Bacterial small subunit ribosomal RNA", at positions 26 to 285 of the family's 1533-position model. The record is from RNAcentral.
AGAAUCAACGCUGGCGGCGUGCCUAACACAUGCAAGUCGAACGAGAAAGUGGAGCAAUCCAUGAGUAAAGUGGCGCACGGGUGAGUAACACGUGACUAACCUACCCUGGAGUGGGGGAUAACUGAGGGAAACCUUAGCUAAUACCGCAUAAUACCUACGGGUCAAAGGAGCAAUUCGCUUAAGGAGGGGUCGCGGCCGAUUAGUUAGUUGGCGGGGUAAUGGCCCACCAAGACUAUGAUCGGUA